GACGAACGCUGGCGGCGUGCCUAAUACAUGCAAGUCGAACGCUUCUUUCCUCCCGAGUGCUUGCACUCAAUUGGAAAGAGGAGUGGCGGACGGGUGAGUAACACGUGGGUAACCUACCCAUCAGCGGGGGAUAACACUUGGAAACAGGUGCUAAUACCGCAUAACAGUUUAUGCCGCAUGGCAUAAGAGUGUAAGGCUCUUUCGUGUGUCGCUGAUGGAUGGACCCGCGGUGCAUUAGCUAGUUGGUGAGGUAACGGCUCACCAAGGCAACGAUGCAUAGCCGACCUGAGAGGGUGAUCGGCCACACUGGAACUGAGACACGGCCCAGACUCCUACGGGAGGCAGCAGUAGGGAAUCUUCGGCAAUGGACGAAAGUCUGACCGAGCAACGCCGCGUGAGUGAAGAAGGUUUUCGGAUCGUAAAACUCUGUUGUUAGAGAAGAACAAGGACGUUAGUAACUGAACGUCCCCUGACGGUAUCUAACCAGAAAGCCACGGCUAACUACGUG
This 508-nucleotide ribosomal RNA is filed under the name uncultured bacterium. RNAcentral describes it as "partial 16S ribosomal RNA". It matches the Rfam family "Bacterial small subunit ribosomal RNA", at positions 28 to 507 of the family's 1533-position model. The record is from RNAcentral.